UAACCUGCCUUGGAUGGGGAAUAACAGCUGGAAACAGCUGCUAAUACCGCAUGAUGCAGUUGGGUCGCAUGGCUCUGACUGCCAAAGAUUUAUCGCUCUGAGAUGGACUCGCGUCUGAUUAGCUAGUUGGCGGGGCAACGGCCCACCAAGGCGACGAUCAGUAGCCGGACUGAGAGGUUGGCCGGCCACAUUGGGACUGAGACACGGCCCAGACUCCUACGGAAGGCAGCAG
This 232-nucleotide ribosomal RNA is filed under the name uncultured bacterium. RNAcentral describes it as "partial 16S ribosomal RNA". It matches the Rfam family "Bacterial small subunit ribosomal RNA", at positions 122 to 354 of the family's 1533-position model. The record is from RNAcentral.